Molecule: ribosomal RNA, 440 nt
Filed under: uncultured bacterium
Lineage: Bacteria
Description: partial 16S ribosomal RNA
Rfam family: Bacterial small subunit ribosomal RNA
Source: RNAcentral
CCUACGGGAGGCUGCAGUGGGGGAUAUUGCACAAUGGGGGAAACCCUGAUGCAGCGACGCCGCGUGAGUGAAGAAGUAUUUCGGUAUGUAAAGCUCUAUCAGCAGGGAAGAAAAUGACAGUACCUGACCAAGAAGCCCCGGCUAACUACGUGCCAGCAGCCGCGGUAAUACGUAGGGGGCAAGCGUUAUCCGGAUUUACUGGGUGUAAAGGGAGCGUAGACGGUUAUGUAAGUCUGGAGUGAAAGCCCGGGGCCCAACCCCGGGACUGCUUUGGAAACUGUGUAACUGGAGUGCAGGAGGGGCGGGCGGAAUUCCUGGUGUAGCGGUGAAAUGCGUAGAUAUCAGGAGGAACACCGGCGGCGAAGGCGGCCUGCUGGACUGAAACUGACGUUGAGGCUCGAAAGCGUGGGGAGCAAACAGGAUUAGAUACCCUAGUAGUC